This 380-nucleotide long non-coding RNA is filed under the name Homo sapiens (human). RNAcentral's name for it is "HAND2 antisense RNA 1". The record is from RNAcentral. Lineage: Eukaryota; Metazoa; Chordata; Mammalia; Primates; Hominidae.
AAAUAUUGAAGAAUCUCUAACCAGGGACACCAGUCCCUACGAAGACCUUGGGCGAUUUUGAAGUGCGGGCACCUCGAUUCCCCGAAUCUGUAGUGUGGCUGGUAUCGGUGUUCCCCUGGUUUAACUAGCCUGUUUGAAGGCACAGAUCAUUCAUGGGGAUGUAUAACCGAAACCAGUCCUCUCCACCGCCUGGGGAUCUUCACUUUCGCAGUCUACGACUGCCUGUGACUCCAGAAAGACAAACUGCAGAUUGGCCAAGAAUCCACACUUCGUUUCUUCUAGGUCCAGCCUAAAUGUUACCUCCUCCAGGGAGCCUUUCCAGAUACUGCUUCUCCUCUCUCCCCCAACUCCCUCCCACAAAUGAAGUUUUCUCUUCUGAA